RNAcentral lists this ribosomal RNA (209 nucleotides) under uncultured bacterium. RNAcentral's name for it is "partial 16S ribosomal RNA". It matches the Rfam family "Bacterial small subunit ribosomal RNA", at positions 568 to 776 of the family's 1533-position model. The record is from RNAcentral.
CGCGUAGGCGGCGCGGUAAGCGUGCGGUGAAAGCCUGGGGCUCAACCCCGGGUCGGCCGUGCGGACUGCCGGGCUGGAGCACUGUAGAGGCAGGUGGAAUUCCGGGUGUAGCGGUGGAAUGCGUAGAGAUCCGGAAGAACACCGGUGGCGAAGGCGGCCUGCUGGGCAGUGGCUGACGCUGAGGCGCGACAGCGUGGGGAGACAAAACA